RNAcentral lists this unclassified non-coding RNA (274 nucleotides) under Hevea brasiliensis (rubber tree). Lineage: Eukaryota; Viridiplantae; Streptophyta; Magnoliopsida; Malpighiales; Euphorbiaceae. The record is from RNAcentral.
ACAGUAUACACAGUAUAUAUAGAAAAAUUUUAGAGAAAACACUUGCUAAUAAAUUGUUUUCAAUGGAAAAAUAAUUGUGUUUUUUGUAAGAAUUAAUGUGAUUUGGCAUGAAAGUGAGUGAUUCUAUACUGUUCUGUGGGCUUGGUGCUGAAAUUAGAUGGACUGUACUCAAUUCCAGGGCUUCUGCAGUUCAACAGAAAUUUGAAUCAUGAUGUUAUUUAUUUAAAUAUGAAGAGGACGGUAAACACAGUAUAUGUAGAAAAAUUCUGGAGAA